Molecule: transfer RNA, 72 nt
Filed under: Watanabea reniformis
Lineage: Eukaryota; Viridiplantae; Chlorophyta; Trebouxiophyceae; Watanabeales; Watanabeaceae
Description: tRNA-Lys
Rfam family: tRNA
About the family: Transfer RNA (tRNA) molecules are approximately 80 nucleotides in length. Their secondary structure includes four short double-helical elements and three loops (D, anti-codon, and T loops). Further hydrogen bonds mediate the characteristic L-shaped molecular structure. tRNAs have two regions of fundamental functional importance: the anti-codon, which is responsible for specific mRNA codon recognition, and the 3' end, to which the tRNAs corresponding amino acid is attached (by aminoacyl-tRNA synthetases). tRNAs cope with the degeneracy of the genetic code in two manners: having more than one tRNA (with a specific anti-codon) for a particular amino acid; and 'wobble' base-pairing, i.e. permitting non-standard base-pairing at the 3rd anti-codon position.
Source: RNAcentral
GGGUUGGUAGCUCAGUGGUAGAGCAACCGGCUUUUAACCGAUUGGUCGAGGGUUCGAUCCCCUCCCAACCCA